ACCUGGCUGGCUUAGUUGGUAGAGCAUAUGACUCUUGAUCUUGGGAUUGUAAGUUCAAGUCCCAUGUCGGGUG
This 73-nucleotide transfer RNA is filed under the name Ailuropoda melanoleuca (giant panda). It matches the Rfam family "tRNA". Rfam says of the family: Transfer RNA (tRNA) molecules are approximately 80 nucleotides in length. Their secondary structure includes four short double-helical elements and three loops (D, anti-codon, and T loops). The record is from Rfam by way of RNAcentral. Lineage: Eukaryota; Metazoa; Chordata; Mammalia; Carnivora; Ursidae.